This 253-nucleotide ribosomal RNA is filed under the name uncultured bacterium. RNAcentral describes it as "partial 16S ribosomal RNA". It matches the Rfam family "Bacterial small subunit ribosomal RNA", at positions 524 to 776 of the family's 1533-position model. RNAcentral also lists the same sequence under 1 other name. The record is from RNAcentral.
UACGUAGGGUGCGAGCGUUAAUCGGAAUUACUGGGCGUAAAGAGUGCGUAGGCGGUUCGUUAUGUCUGUGGUGAAAGCCCUGGGCUCAACCUAGGAAUGGCCAUGGAAACUGGCGGGCUGGAGUAUGGCAGAGGGGGGUGGAAUUCCGCGUGUAGCAGUGAAAUGCGUAGAGAUGCGGAGGAACACCGAUGGCGAAGGCAGCCCCCUGGGCUAAUACUGACGCUGAGGCACGAAAGCGUGGGGAGCAAACAGG